Molecule: ribosomal RNA, 459 nt
Filed under: uncultured bacterium
Lineage: Bacteria
Description: partial 16S ribosomal RNA
Rfam family: Bacterial small subunit ribosomal RNA
Source: RNAcentral
CCUACGGGUGGCUGCAGUGAGGAAUAUUGGUCAAUGGACGAGAGUCUGAACCAGCCAAGUCGCGUGAAGGAUGACUGCCCUAUGGGUUGUAAACUUCUUUUAUAGGGGAAUAAAAUGUUCCACGUGUGGCGCUUCGUAUGUACCAUAUGAAUAAGGAUCGGCUAAGUCCGUGCCAGCCGCCGCGGUAAUACGGGGGAUUCGAGGGUUAACCGGUUUUAUUGGGUUUAAAGGGUGCGGAGGCGGUGUUUUAAGUUCGUGGUAAAACGUCGGGGUUUAACCCUGAUUGGCCAUUAAAACUGGGGGACUAGAGUAGAGACGAGGUAGGCGGAAUGAGUUGAGUAGCGGUGAAAUGCUUAGAUAUAACGUAGAACCCCGAUAGCGAAGGCAGCUUACCGGACUGUUACUGACGCUGAAGCACGAGAGCGUGGGUAGCGAACAGGAUUAGAUACCCUUGUAGUC